RNAcentral lists this long non-coding RNA (989 nucleotides) under Mus pahari (shrew mouse). RNAcentral describes it as "RIKEN cDNA D930028M14 gene (MGP_PahariEiJ_G0004891.1)". The record is from RNAcentral. Lineage: Eukaryota; Metazoa; Chordata; Mammalia; Rodentia; Muridae.
CUCUGCCUCUCUCUCUCCCUUGCUUCUCUUCCUUUCUUUCCCGGAGCCGCACCCAAGCCCCCACCCCAUGUACCCCUUACCCCUACCUCUGGGGGACCAGCCGACACCCCAUACUCCCCUACUGCAGGAGAGUUUAGGGGGGGCUGAGAGCUUGGAGAGCCAGGAGAGGGGGCUCAGAGGAAGAGGAAACACUCAGGAAGGGAUGGAGAGAUGGACAGAACUGAAUAAAGAAUGCCUGUCGGGAGGAACACGGAGAGACGCAGAGGACUAUGAAAGGCCAGGAGCCGGAGACCCGUGGGCCUGGUGAGCUGCACAGACCUCUGCACUCAGUGGGAUUCCCAACAGGCCUUGCUCCAAGCUCCCAGGGUUACUCUGAGGUCUGCCUAUGUUGCGGAGCAGAGCUCUGAAUUCUCAGCCUGCCUUAAUUAGCUGUGGGACUGUCCAGGAUUCCAGGGACUCACGGAUCCUAUACUGCUAAAGUCACUGAAGACUCUGCCUGGCACGGGCCCUGGGUCGUUCUUCUAAGUCACCUCCUUAGACCCAGCAAUGCAAGGCUUGUCCCCCACAAGUGAGCUCUAGCUCCUGAGAUCUUCGGGGCUCCUGCACGGGGAGUAUAGGAGUCUGUCCUCAUCACCUCCGUGAUGUAGCAUGUGGAGGGCUACAAGUGACUGCAAUUGGCCACGGGGACUGCAAGGCCAGAGUGGCGUUCCUGGUUCCAACAGCUGAUAAGCCUGUCACCGAUACCACAGUUAGACCUACGCUGGCUUCUCUGCUUCAGGAACACCCUCCCAAAGAUGUCCCAGAGGCCCUGCGUGCAUCAUCUAUCCUCUCUGUCCUCUGACCACAUUCUUUGCAGCCUCACACUUGGGCUGAUAACGCUUGUGCCUCUGAGGCCUCCGAAGUUCUGCUUCUCAGCAUCUCCGGGCCUCCUAUAGGAGACAUCCCAGGGUGGAGCAGGGUGCUGCAGUAAUAAAUGGAUGGAUCUGGAU